CUACGGAACUCCUACGGGAGGCAGCAGUGGGGAAUAUUGGACAAUGGGCGAAAGCCUGUUCCAGCAAUGCCGCGUGAGUGAUGAAGGCCUUAGGGUUGUAAAGCUCUUUUACCAGGGAUGAUAAUGACAGUACCUGGAGAAUAAGCUCCGGCUAACUCCGUGCCAGCAGCCGCGGUAAUACGGAGGGAGCUAGCGUUGUUCGGAAUUACUGGGCGUAAAGCGCACGUAGGCGGCGAUUCAAGUCAGAGGUGAAAGCCCGGGGCUCAACCCCGGAACUGCCUUUGAAACUAGAUUGCUAGAAUCCUGGAGAGGUGAGUGGAAUUCCGAGUGUAGAGGUGAAAUUCGUAGAUAUUCGGAAGAACACCAGUGGCGAAGGCGACUCACUGGACAGGUAUUGACGCUGAGGUGCGAAAGCGUGGGGAGCAAACAGGAUUAGAUACCCCGGUAGUCCUCUUCGA
Molecule: ribosomal RNA, 458 nt
Filed under: uncultured bacterium
Lineage: Bacteria
Description: bacterial SSU rRNA
Rfam family: Bacterial small subunit ribosomal RNA
Source: RNAcentral